This 1582-nucleotide long non-coding RNA is filed under the name Volvox carteri. RNAcentral describes it as "long non-coding RNA (VCAR_LNC001867)". The record is from RNAcentral. Lineage: Eukaryota; Viridiplantae; Chlorophyta; Chlorophyceae; Chlamydomonadales; Volvocaceae.
ACGUGAGGCGCCUCAGCACGGUAUCGUGCACGGUAAGUCUGGGCCGCAAGCAUAGGGGUUUGACUGCUGUUCGCGCUUAAAUGCAACCGUUAGUCGUUGGAAUCCGCAUGUUUAACCGUGUCACCUUUACUUGUGCAGGGUCUCCUCUCCGCAGACAUUGUGUUUAAAGCUCUGAAGGACUGCGCGGCCUCAGAUCCAACGAGGCUGCGACGUACGUGAGGCGCCUCAGCACGGUAUCGUGCACGGUAAGUCUGGGCCGCAAGCAUAGGGUUUUGACUGCUGUUCGCGCUUAAAUGCAACCGUUAGUCGUUGGAAUCCGCAUGUUUAACCGUGUCAUCUUUACUUGUGCAGGGUCUCCUCUCCGCAGACAUUGUGUUUAAAGCUCUGAAGGACUGCGCGGCCUCACAUCCAACGAGGCUGCGACGUACGUGAGGCGCCUCAGCACGGUAUCGUGCACGGUAAGUCUGGGCCGCAAGCAUAGGGUUUUGACUGCUGUUCGCGCUUAAAUGCAACCGUUAGUCGUUGGAAUCCGCAUGUUUAACCGUGUCAUCUUUACUUGUGCAGGGUCUCCUCUCCGCAGACAUUGUGUUUAAAGCUCUGAAGGACUGCGCGGCCUCAGAUCCAACGAGGCUGCGACGUACGUGAGGCGCCUCAGCACGGUAUCGUGCACGGUAAGUCUGGGCCGCAAGCAUAGGGUUUUGACUGCUGUUCGCGCUUAAAUGCAACCGUUAGUCGUUGGAAUCCGCAUGUUUAACCGUGUCAUCUUUACUUGUGCAGGGUCUCCUCUCCGCAGACAUUGUGUUUAAAGCUCUGAAGGACUGCGCGGCCUCACAUCCAACGAGGCUGCGACGUACGUGAGGCGCCUCAGCACGGUAUCGUGCACGGUAAGUCUGGGCCGCAAGCAUAGGGUUUUGACUGCUGUUCGCGCUUAAAUGCAACCGUUAGUCGUUGGAAUCCGCAUGUUUAACCGUGUCAUCUUUACUUGUGCAGGGUCUCCUCUCCGCAGACAUUGUGUUUAAAGCUCUGAAGGACUGCGCGGCCUCACAUCCAACGAGGCUGCGACGUACGUGAGGCGCCUCAGCACGGUAUCGUGCACGGUAAGUCUGGGCCGCAAGCAUAGGGUUUUGACUGCUGUUCGCGCUUAAAUGCAACCGUUAGUCGUUGGAAUCCGCAUGUUUAACCGUGUCAUCUUUACUUGUGCAGGGUCUUCACUCCAUUUUGUGGAGCCCGCGCCAAUAACCAAACUAUGUUGGUCAGUGUCACAAGAGGACGCUUCAUUAUAGCAGGCUUCCCAACUGUUUGCUUUUGCCAUAUUUUUGGGCUUUGCGUUUCACAUGGCGAUUGGCGUUGCGAACGAUACCCGCUUAUUGGUCGGAUAGGUCAUGAUUUAAUUGGAGGAGGGGGUAGCUUCGUCUGCAAAGCAAUUUGCACACACUGCUCCCUACCGCGCAGGGGGAACUGUCAAUUAGCAGCGCCCACAUGCGCUUUGCUCCUCAAGCCCUGCACCGGUGUGCGUGUCAGUUAUUUUGUUGUGCGCCCCCGUGCGGUUCGUUAUCUUAUUGUUAUGCGGCUUACGUCUACC